RNAcentral lists this ribosomal RNA (293 nucleotides) under uncultured bacterium. RNAcentral describes it as "partial 16S ribosomal RNA". It matches the Rfam family "Archaeal small subunit ribosomal RNA", at positions 455 to 747 of the family's 1478-position model. The record is from RNAcentral.
GUGCCAGCCGCCGCGGUAAUACCGGCAGCCCGAGUGAUGGCCGAUCUUAUUGGGCCUAAAGCGUCCGUAGCUGGCCGCGCAAGUCCAUCGGGAAAUCCACCCGCCCAACGGGUGGCCGUCCGGUGGAAACUGCACGGCUUGGGACCGGAAGGCGCGACGGGUACGUCCAGGGUAGGAGUGAAAUCCUGUAAUCCUGGACGGACCGCCGGUGGCGAAAGCGCCUCGGGAAGACGGACCCGACAGUGAGGGACGAAAGCGGGGAUCUCGAACCGGAUUAGAUACCCUUGUAGUCC